AGAGUUAAAUAGUACGUGAAAUUGUUGAAAGGGAAACGAUUGAAGUCAGUCAUGCUUGCAGGGAAUCAGCAAAGUGGUUUUCUUCUUUGUGCACUUCCUUGCUUGGCAGGUUAGCAUCAAUUUUGAUUGUCAUUAAAGAACUGAGGGAAUGUGGCUUCUUCGGGAGUGUUAUAGACCUUGGUGGAUGUGACGAUUGGGAUUGAGGAUUGCAGCGAAUGCUUCUUGGCUAGUCACCUGGCUUCUGAUGGUCACCUUGCUUUCGAUAGCUUGCUAACGUUGGUGAGAUUUGAUUGUCUAGAUGUUGGAGUGAUCAUAAAUUCGCUAAGGAUGCUGACGUAAUGGCUUUAAACGA
RNAcentral lists this unclassified non-coding RNA (352 nucleotides) under uncultured Glomeromycotina. Its description in RNAcentral is "sequence contains 28S rRNA gene". Lineage: Eukaryota; Fungi; Glomeromycota. The record is from RNAcentral.